GUGUUGGCUGGGAUGGCGCUUCUAUCGCGGUGCCUGGCAUGCAUUGCGGGGCGGCGCGGCCAAUAUGGAUGUGCUGGUCGCCCUGGGCACC
Molecule: transfer RNA, 91 nt
Filed under: Andreprevotia sp. IGB-42
Lineage: Bacteria; Pseudomonadati; Pseudomonadota; Betaproteobacteria; Neisseriales; Chitinibacteraceae
Description: tRNA-Ala
Source: RNAcentral